Long non-coding RNA from Cicer arietinum (chickpea), 2589 nucleotides. RefSeq lists it as uncharacterized. The record is from RefSeq and is a predicted model, not a curated record. NCBI's taxonomy places the organism in Eukaryota, Viridiplantae, Streptophyta, Magnoliopsida, Fabales, Fabaceae.
AAGAUCAUUUUCUAUUCUCUUCAUCUUGUAUAAAUAUGACAGUACUAUUUCUCCCAUUAAGAAAUAAUUUAUGUUUGUAUUCACCACACAUAGUGUGUUUUUUUUUCAAUCAAUAAGAAACACAGUUCUUGAAUAUGAUUUCAUAGAAUUCAAUCUUUAAAAUGGUAUCAGAGAGCUUCAAUUCAUAGAUCCAUAAGUUAUUCUCUUUUUUCGCUUCAUCUUCAUUCCGCUCUUUAAAUCUGUGAUUAUUUCAGUUCUUUGUACUUCUACAUCAUCUGAUUCUAAUCAAGAAGAUCUUGUUCAUAAACAUACUAAAUCCACCAUGGAUGAUUCUGUUUAGAUUCUUCGCUUUAAAUGACCACAACUAUUUAUUCAUAUGUUAUUGACCAAACUAUCUAAUAAGAACUAUUUUUGACGGAAUCAACAAGUUGACGGUGUCAUCACUGCGUACAAGCUACAUCGUUUUGCAGCGACUCCGUAAAUUCCUCCAAAUUUUGAAUUGGAAGCAUAUCGUUUUCUCAACAAAGUAUUUGAUUUGUAUCAAUCUUGGUUACUAAAGGAUCAAAUGCUUCUUACUUGGUUCAUUUCAUUUCUUUCAGAGGAAAUCUUACCAUGUGUGAUUUGAUGCAAGCAUUCUUGGAAAAUUUGGGAUAAAAUUCAUAAGUAUUUUCACUCCUAUUUGAAAGCUAAAGUUCACCAGUUACGAUAUGAGCUCAAGAACACGAAGAAAGGUUCGCGCACCAUCUAUUAAUAUCUACUUAGAAUUAAAUGCACUAUUGAUUCUUUUUAGGUUGUUGAAGGAUUGUCCACAUGUAGAUGACAUUGAAGCCUUGAUUCUUGUUCAAGAAGUUCAGUUUGAAAAAUGCAGACAAGAAUUAUCUACACCGUAUGUUACGCCGAAUAUUGCACAAACAAGCAAUUAUCAAAACCCUAAUUCUCAUAAUUACAAUGCCACCUCAAAUCAAUUCAAUCAUGGUAGAUCCAUUGACGACGAUAAAGGUCGUGGAUAUCUUGGGGGACGAGGCCGAUCUAGAGGACGUGGUGGAACUAGACCUACAUGCCAAUUAUGCAACAAGUAUUGUCAUGAUAUUUUUCACUGUUAGCACAUAUUUGAGCAAACUUUUCCCCAAUUCGUUGAAUUUUCCAUCUUAAAACCUGAAACUGACUUUUACUACACCUAGGUCAAAUUCUCAACCUGUUAAUCCAUUAGCAAAUUUGGCAAUGCAACACCAACCUUCAAUUUCUAGAUAUUCUUAUCCCCAUAAUUUUGAUGCAUAAUCUUGGUAUCCAAACUCUUGGGCUUCACAUCAUCUUACUGCAGAUCAACAAAACUUCACUCAAAGUAUUCCCUACAAUGGCUCCAAUCAAAGUUUUAAUGGGUAAUGGACAAGGCUGCCUACAACCAAUCUCAUUGAAUUUACCUCACCUUACCAUGCUUUAAAUAAAUAAAAAAAGAAUACAUGAUUAUCAUUCCUUUAUAGUGUUUGGUUGUACUUGAUAUCCUUUAUUGAGGCCUUCUAACAAACAAAAGCUUGAUUUUAGAUCCAUUGAAUGUGUAACAUGGGUCGCUCUCCAUUACAUAAAGGACACAAAUCUAUGACUGCAUCGAGAAAUAUUUAUAUUUCUAAAGAUGUGAGAUUCAAUUAAACCAAAUUUCCUUAUAGUAAAAUGUUUGGCAGAACUUUUCCUAAUACUCACUCACAUGUUACUUAUCUCGCUUCUAUUUCAUUUCUAGUCACAAAACAUCCUUUACCAACUCAACAACAAUUAGUUCCUCAAAACUCUCCUGAACCACAUAGUCCUACUCUGGUACCCCUUAUAUCCACUUUACUUGAAUCUUAAUCAGUAUCCCAAUAACCUACAACUACUUCACGAAUACCUUAUAUAUCAUUUUCAUCAUCUUUACCUACAAACCUUAUUCCACAAAUAAAUCCUAUUUUACAUAACUAGAACAUUCAACAAAUUGACAUAAAUAAUGAUUUCCCCAAUCGCACCUUGCAAGAGGAAGUUUUUAUGAAGCAACCUUCUGGUUUUGUGUAUCAAACAAGUCCUUGGUGUGUAAAUUGAACAAGACUAUUAAUGGAUUGAAGCAGGCUCUUAGGGCAUGGAAUGAAUGUCUCACUAAUUUUCUCAUUCAGUUUGGUUUCCUUCCAAGUAUUGGGACUUAAUUGUAUGUUCUCAUUAUUGGGUCUACUCCUCAAUUAAUUUAGGAUCUAAUCUCUAAACUCAACACCAAGUUUGCCAAAAAAAAAUAUUUGGGAUCAUUGGAUUAUUUUCUUGGCAUUGAGGUAAAACAUUUAGCCAAUGGUUGUAUUCUUCUGUUACAAGACAAGUAUAUUCAUGAUUUCUUGGUUAGGUCAAACAUGACUAAUGCAAAGGGAAUCUCAUCUCCAAUGGUAUCCUCUUGUAAACUCAACAAAUUUGGAACUAGUUCUUUAUCAAAUCCAAUUAUGUAAUAUCCAUCAUUUGAGCUCUUCAAUAUGUUACUUUUACUCGUCCAUAAAUUACAUACAGUGUAAAUAAAGUCUACCCAUUUAUAUCUAAGCCAUUGGAAUCACAUUGGAAAUCAAUUAAAUAAAUUCUGAGAUA